AUGAUGAAGGUUUAAGAAGCGGCAUCAUCAGAGAACUGUGUUUUGAAGAUUUGAGGGAAGGGCUGACCUCAGGAUUUUAUACUAGGAAGGCCCUAUCUCAAGUGGCUCUGGUCCAUGCAAACAGAUGGAAACGGGUGUGGGGAAGCACAGGCCUCCUACUCAUGUUAAGAGAGCUGCUCAGAGGCAGGAAUCCAGAACCAGGAAUGUCCCCAGUGGCUGCCCAAGUUGCUGACCUCCAUAACAGCAGACAAAAUUGGAAGCAAGAGUGAUUUUGGAGGAGUCACACUUAGAUGUUUCCCUUACCUAUUUCUGUUCUGGAAAUUUAAAAAUCUUACUUCUCAUGACAGUCCUACAUGAAAAAUUAAAAAUCACAAGGAUUCACGGAUGGAAAACUGAGACUCAGAGAAUGAUCACAUUCACAUCGUAAUAAAUCAGCAAUAGAGUGAGUGAUUGUUCCUUGGUAAGAAAUCAACUCUAAACUCAGUUGGAAACCUUUGCCAAUAUUACUUAACACAUGACAAUCUGGUGUGACUCAUUUUUCUUGACAUUAUGCAAAUAAAGGAAACAAGACUGAGUGGCCUUCUGUCCGGAGAGCAGGAAAUGAAGGCUGUCUGGGGCCAC
Molecule: long non-coding RNA, 621 nt
Filed under: Pan troglodytes (chimpanzee)
Lineage: Eukaryota; Metazoa; Chordata; Mammalia; Primates; Hominidae
Description: lincRNA
Source: RNAcentral